UACGAAGGGGGCUAGCGUUGCUCGGAAUCACUGGGCGUAAAGGGUGCGUAGGCGGGUCUUUAAGUCAGGGGUGAAAUCCUGGAGCUCAACUCCAGAACUGCCUUUGAUACUGAGGAUCUUGAGUCCGGGAGAGGUGAGUGGAACUGCGAGUGUAGAGGUGAAAUUCGUAGAUAUUCGCAAGAACACCAGUGGCGAAGGCGGCUCACUGGCCCGGUACUGACGCUGAGGCACGAAAGCGUGGGGAGCGAACAGG
This 253-nucleotide ribosomal RNA is filed under the name uncultured bacterium. Its description in RNAcentral is "partial 16S ribosomal RNA". It matches the Rfam family "Bacterial small subunit ribosomal RNA", at positions 524 to 776 of the family's 1533-position model. The record is from RNAcentral.